Molecule: unclassified non-coding RNA, 222 nt
Filed under: Hevea brasiliensis (rubber tree)
Lineage: Eukaryota; Viridiplantae; Streptophyta; Magnoliopsida; Malpighiales; Euphorbiaceae
Source: RNAcentral
AAGAAAAGAAAGAAAAAGAAAAGAAAGGAAAUGGAAGAAAGGUUGUUGAUGUUGGAUGGAUUUAUUAUGAUGUGUAAAUUGACUGGUUGUUUUUAGAUGAUAUGCUUAUUUUGCAGCCACCAGAAAAGUGGCAGACUACUUUGUGUUUAUAUGUGACCUCGGCUUGCUUCUCAUCCACAGUUAUGCAUACUCAAAAUACUCCCACAAUUGAAAGAGAGGCUG